RNAcentral lists this transfer RNA (72 nucleotides) under Bacteroidia bacterium. RNAcentral's name for it is "tRNA-Gln". It matches the Rfam family "tRNA". From Rfam's summary of the family: Transfer RNA (tRNA) molecules are approximately 80 nucleotides in length. Lineage: Bacteria; Pseudomonadati; Bacteroidota; Bacteroidia. The record is from RNAcentral.
AGCCCUCUGGUCUAAUGGCUAAGGCACCGGACUUUGAAUUCGGGGACUGAGGUUCAAUUCCUCCGAGGGCUA